This 136-nucleotide transfer RNA is filed under the name Chitinophagaceae bacterium. RNAcentral's name for it is "tRNA-Arg". The record is from RNAcentral. Lineage: Bacteria; Pseudomonadati; Bacteroidota; Chitinophagia; Chitinophagales; Chitinophagaceae. RNAcentral also lists the same sequence under 2 other names.
GGACCUGUAGUUCAAUGGAUACCUGCCUGCCAUACCUACGGCAGGUAAACCGGCAGGCAGGGAAUAGAAGUUUCCUAAACUUUAGAUACAAGUUCCCUUCCACUUCGUUGGCAGGCAGGGAUUCUUGUCGGGGCUA